GACGAACGCUGGCGGCGUGCCUAACACAUGCAAGUCGAGCGAUGAAGCUCCUUCGGGAGUGGAUUAGCGGCGGACGGGUGAGUAACACGUGGGUAACCUGCCUCAUAGAGGGGAAUAGCCUCCCGAAAGGGAGAUUAAUACCGCAUAAUGUAUGAGAAUCGCAUGAUUUUUGUACCAAAGGAGUAAUCCGCUAUGAGAUGGACCCGCGGCGCAUUAGCUAGUUGGUGAGGUAAAGGCUCACCAAGGCGACGAUGCGUAGCCGACCUGAGAGGGUGAUCGGCCACAUUGGAACUGAGACACGGUCCAG
RNAcentral lists this ribosomal RNA (307 nucleotides) under uncultured bacterium. RNAcentral's name for it is "bacterial SSU rRNA". It matches the Rfam family "Bacterial small subunit ribosomal RNA", at positions 28 to 334 of the family's 1533-position model. The record is from RNAcentral.